RNAcentral lists this long non-coding RNA (1686 nucleotides) under Eptatretus burgeri (inshore hagfish). RNAcentral describes it as "lncRNA (ENSEBUG00000017177.1)". The record is from RNAcentral. Lineage: Eukaryota; Metazoa; Chordata; Myxini; Myxiniformes; Myxinidae.
GGGGGGGGGGGGUGUGUGUGUGUGUGUGUGUGUGUGUGUGUAUGUGUGUGCUCAGCGUCCUCCUUUACAUAUUAAAGAAGAAUGAAGCCAAGUUCAUACGAGGGCAAUCCGUCACUCUAUUUAAAGCUCCGACUUUUGUGCGCUCGGAAGGGCUUUAUUCUAGCGCUCUCUGACAAAACCAUGACUUAUGAUCAAACGUCAGGCCUCGCGAGGCGCCAUUUCGUUCCAGUGCUACCCACGCUCGGAGCCAAAAAGGAGUCGCUGUGAAUUUGUGGGAAGCAUGCAUGUGUGUGCCGUACGGCAUCUUUCGAUGGAAAACGUCGACCUUUUCUUGCACAAGCGGAACCUGAAAUUGAUUCUGCCUGAAGAACGGCUGCAUCAUGAUCUGCAGGCUCUGAGCCUAAGCCGCCAUCAAAAAUGCGUGCCAUGCAGCCAAAAGUCCAACUUCUACACAUAAUUGCUCAGACAGUGGAAUUGCCAUGGCAACACCCGAUACUCCUACAACAUUCACUUGCUCCCACGAUAAAGGGCCCCCUGUUGGCGUUGUUGAAACGGAUCGGGCAAAGGCGGGAACGGGGCAGAAGGUGCCUCCCACUGUUCCUGCAGAUGUGGGUUGAUGUUCUGACCCUGACUGUGCGGUUGCGGCAGCAGUGUCUCCCGAGCCAAUCUAUUUUGGCCAAAAGCCGGUCCAUUUGGGUUAUUUGGGCAAUCUCUAGACCAGUGGCUAACUUGGCUGCACGCUUGACAUAUCUCUCUGCGCAUAUCUCAGUGUCUACGCCCAUGUCCAUGGCUCGCACCAGCAUUAUAAUUGGCAUGUCUCUCUCUCUCUGCCCCCUCCUGGCAAUGUAUUUACUUGCGCAUGCAUCACCUUUGCUGUUGUCUCAGCACUUCGUUGUUCAAUCAGUAAGCUACAAUGGUUUAUAAAUGGCAGCAUGUCUUUCACGAUCUUAGUUUCCCAUCCCAUGCAUAUACGUUUGGCAUCGGCUUGUAAUUUUGCAGCUAAUCUACUGACAAAGGCAUGGGAAAAUGGCACUCCCUCAUCAUCCGGCAAACCCGAAUACCAUCUGUACACAUUAUGUAGGCGCUAUUAAUAGUCUGAUGGGUCUUUGCCCACUCUCUGUUUACAUACUUGAAUCUUUCCCCAAUCCGUUUUAAGUGGUGCUACGACCACCAAUUCCUCAAUGAGGUCGUUGAUAUGAUUAUUGAGUGUGUCCCUACCUGGGGGCACCUCUUCUGGCCACUUGGCAGUUUGUUUCAGCUGUCGCAGCAACCCCUCGGGCACAAUCAGUCGCAAUAAAACAUUCAUGUCUACAUAAGUUGGGUUAUGUCAUUCCACAAUAACUCAUAAUCCCGUUGAAACCUCUGUGGAUUUCCAUGCAUUUUCGGCAUAUCGUUCGCUAUUACUCUUCAUUCUGAACCCCAUGGUCUAUAAAUGGCUUGCACGUUGUUCGGGCCAGGGUAAUCUCACAAUGGAUAUGCACCUAUUGGUGCAAUUUCCUCCUUAUCACCCUCUGUAGUGUCCCUGAUCUUUUGUGACCUGGUCCACACCCCGGCCGUACCAGCAUUGGGACCCCUUCCCUACCGGUGGGCGAUCAAUACCUCCGCAUCCCCGCGAUACCUUAUAUCCUUGUCCUCUGCAGCAUGUCUUUCAUCGUCACUAUCCAAAACCUCCGUUUUUGAUACUCC